Molecule: ribosomal RNA, 301 nt
Filed under: uncultured bacterium
Lineage: Bacteria
Description: partial 16S ribosomal RNA
Rfam family: Bacterial small subunit ribosomal RNA
Source: RNAcentral
CAGUAGCCGCGGUAAUACGUAGGGUGCAAGCGUUAAUCGGAAUUACUGGGCGUAAAGCGUGCGCAGGCGGUUUGUUAAGACAGAUGUGAAAUCCCCGGGCUCAACCUGGGAACUGCAUUUGUGACUGGCAGGCUAGAGUAUGGCAGAGGGGGGUGGAAUUCCGCGUGUAGCAGUGAAAUGCGUAGAUAUGCGGAGGAACACCGAUGGCGAAGGCAGCCCCCUGGGCCAAUACUGACGCUCAUGCACGAAAGCGUGGGGAGCAAACAGGAUUAGAUACCCCUGUAGUCCCUGUCUCUUAUAC